GAGUUCACAACCAAACACACUACCACCACCACCACUGCCUCUAAUAACAACCAAUUCUACAGUGGUCCCACUGCUUACGGUAACAACAACAACAAUAACCAACAACAGUACUAUAACGGCGUUAGCGAUUAUAGUACUACGAGCAACAACCAGCAGAAACAGCAGCAGUUCUACAGUGGCGACAACUUUUACAGUAACAACCAGCAGCAACAGCAGGACUACAACGGUGGCAACACUUACAACAAUAACGACAACAACAAUGAAGAGGAGGAGGAGUACUACAACAACAAUGGUGGUAAUACUUACAACAACAACAACAACGAGCAACAGGAGUUUAGUGAAACAAGAUUAAGUGCUAGAACUUACAGCACCAACCCAACAAAUUACGGAAACAAUUACAACAACAACAAUCAAGAACAGAGCUACUCCACCAACUACAAUAACUACAAUACUGGCAAAAGUAAUUACAGAGUGCACCAGCAGCAAGGGAUGAGUGACACAAGAUUCUUGGGAAAUGGGAAAUUCUAUUAUGAUAUCAACGCUGAGAAACAUGCUAGGGAUCCAUAUGAAAAUGCAAGAGAAAUUUGCUGCAAUUAACCAACAGUACAACAACAGGAACACCUGUGGAAACAAUGAAUACAACACCAAUAACAACAAUUUUGAGAAUGUACAACAACAGGAACACCUAUGGAAACAAUGAAUACAGCACCAACAACAACAGUUUUGAGAAUGAAGAGGAGUUCCAAGUUGAAGACAACAUGCCUUGAGCUAUUGUUCAACACUUUGAUGAAAACAAAAAAAGUAUCAACAAUAACAGAUUUGAGAAUGAAGAGGAGUUCCAAGUUGAAGACAACAUGCCUUGAGCUUUUGUUCAACACUUUGAUGAAAACAAAAAAAAAGUGAACAUAGUGAGCCAAAAGGAAUGUUAUGUGUCCCACAAUUAUCAUUGAUGUUGUUUUCCUUUUUUUAUCUAAGUUAUAUUUUAUUAGCAAAAUGUUAAUUAAACUACAGAGUUAUUUUUGGGUGUUUUAUGUAUAAUUAUGGUGAAUCUCUACUGAUAUAUGGCUAUGAUUAUAAGGAAUUGUAUUUUUAAUGUGGUGAAAUCGACAGUGAAAAAAAUUGUAGUGAUAAAAAAUCAUUGUGUCAACUAGCUUAUGCCUGUAAGCAAUCUAAUGUCAGUCUGGGUAUUUUACUAGUCUGAAGUAAAAACUGGGCCUAUAAUUAUGUCGCCUAUAUAAUAUUGACCGGAUUAGUAUAAUUCUGCUAGUCUACCAGUGAGAGUGAAGAUGC
Molecule: long non-coding RNA, 1290 nt
Filed under: Nicotiana benthamiana
Lineage: Eukaryota; Viridiplantae; Streptophyta; Magnoliopsida; Solanales; Solanaceae
Description: long non-coding RNA (NBEN_LNC025334)
Source: RNAcentral